RNAcentral lists this ribosomal RNA (261 nucleotides) under uncultured prokaryote. RNAcentral's name for it is "partial 16S ribosomal RNA". It matches the Rfam family "Bacterial small subunit ribosomal RNA", at positions 524 to 784 of the family's 1533-position model. The record is from RNAcentral.
UACGUAGGUGGCAAGCGUUAUCCGGAAUUAUUGGGCGUAAAGAGCGUGCAGGUGGUUGAUUAAGUCUGAUGUGAAAGCCCACGGCUUAACCGUGGAGGGUCAUUGGAAACUGGUCGACUUGAGUGCAGAAGAGGGAAGUGGAAUUCCAUGUGUAGCGGUGAAAUGCGUAGAUAUUAGGAGGAACACCAGUAGCGAAGGCGGCUCUCUGGACUGUAACUGACGCUGAGGCACGAAAGCGUGGGGAGCAAACAGGAUUAGAUA